Long non-coding RNA from Zea mays, 228 nucleotides. RefSeq lists it as uncharacterized. NCBI's taxonomy places the organism in Eukaryota, Viridiplantae, Streptophyta, Magnoliopsida, Poales, Poaceae. The transcript is spliced from 3 exons. The record is from RefSeq and is a predicted model, not a curated record.
AAGGUGCUACCUUGGCAACAAAUGUGAGUGAAGGCAUGGCUGAACAAAGAGUGCAGCAUACACAUACGAAGCCAAAGGUCAUUUCCGAUGGUGACGAUGAUGAGGGUGUCAUAUUCGAAGAGGAUGAUGAUGAUAACGAUGGAUACCUAUUCGCUGGGCAAUAUGAUGAGACCGACGAGGACAUCAAGAUUGAUGGUACUCAAGAAGAAUCUAUUGACACUGAUUUGC